This 837-nucleotide long non-coding RNA is filed under the name Capsicum annuum. Its description in RNAcentral is "long non-coding RNA (CANN_LNC017833)". Lineage: Eukaryota; Viridiplantae; Streptophyta; Magnoliopsida; Solanales; Solanaceae. The record is from RNAcentral.
GGGAGAUAAUCAGAUUGGGGAUAUAAUGAACAAAACUCCUCUAUUUAUAAGGAAAAAUACUUUUAGUUUCAGACUAAAAGAUAGAUACUUCAAAUCCUGAUAGAUAUCAACUAGAUCUUGAUAGAUCUUAUUAGAUCUUAACAGAUAUUAUCUAUAAUAGACAUUCGCUAUAAUAUAAAUACAUUUAUAACACUCCCCUUGAAUGUCUAAUUGAUAGAUUAUGCAGCUCGUUAAAACCUUACUUCCAGUGAAAAAAAUCCAGUGAAUAAAAAACAAUAUACAUCUCUAAUAAUAUGUAUUUCGCCUGCCUCAUUAGAAACCUUACAAAGAAAACCCAGUGGGACAAAAUCUCGUAAGGAAAAAAGAAUACAGAGUGUAAUAACUUUCCCUAAUGGGAACAUCCUUAAACCUUUGCAUACUGAUCUUGUGUACAUCUUCUUGAAAGUUGCAGUUGGUAAUGUAUUAUAAAAUAACAAAGAAUUAAAAAAAUUAGUAGAGAAGAAGCUUCUUUAUUUCUCAUGAGAGAUGAGAGAUCAUAAGAUUCUUUUUUUUAAUAAACAUAAAUAUAUCCAACACAUAAUUGCAAAACAUAAUUAAUAUUCUGGAGACUCAUUUGAGUUGGCCGUGGUGUGCUAACUUUGCUAUCUAUAGCUUUCCUCAAUCACGUCCGCUGAUAUGGUUACCCACCAAUUGAAUGAUUUUACUUGCUGAUUAGAAUCUCGUGCUAAUAACGUGUUAUGAAAUAUAAAGUGUGCUAAUAACGUGUUAUGAAAUAUAAAGUAAGAACAACAGGAAUAAAUAGAGAGAAAAGAGGAGACUUCUGUAUUUCUAUGAGAG